AGGGCAAGGAUUGUGUGCCUACAGGUUCUAGUGAUGGAAUGCUGUCCCUGCUGCUGGCACCAUUCAAAAAAUCAAUAUCUUCUUACAGCUGCCCCGCCAUAUGUCAUCCAGAGAGAGAAGAUGAGAAUCAAAUAUAUGUUUGCCACAUUUGAGAGCACAGUAGUUUCUUGAGGAAAAGCCAAGCAGAUUGCAUUACAUCCUAAAGAAAACUAUUAGGUUUUAUAGAAGUGUGCCUGUGACCGAUGAUUCUGAAUAAACUGGUCCUCCUUGGCAAAAUUUGAAAAA
Molecule: long non-coding RNA, 285 nt
Organism: Rana temporaria (common frog)
Lineage: Eukaryota; Metazoa; Chordata; Amphibia; Anura; Ranidae
Exons: 2
Source: RefSeq, a predicted model, not a curated record